GUGAAGAACGUAGCGAAAUGCGAUAAGUAAUGUGAAUUGCAGAAUUCAGUGAAUCAUCGAAUCUUUGAACGCACAUUGCGCCCCCUGGCAUUCCGGGGGGCAUGCCUGUUCGAGCGUCAUUACAACCCUCAAGCUCUGCUUGGUAUUGGGCUCUGCUGGGACCGGCAGGCCUUAAAAUCAGUGGCGGCGCCACUCGGCUUCAAGCGUAGUAAUUCUUCUCGCUUCGGAGACCCGGGUGCGUGCUAGCCAGCAACCCCCAACUUUCUUAGGUUGACCUCGGAUCAGGUAGGGAUACCCGCUGAACUUAAGCAUAUCAAUAAGCGGAGGA
This 328-nucleotide unclassified non-coding RNA is filed under the name soil metagenome. RNAcentral describes it as "partial contains 5.8S ribosomal RNA, internal transcribed spacer 2, and large subunit ribosomal RNA". The stretch from base 2 to 119 matches the Rfam family "5.8S ribosomal RNA", at positions 37 to 154 of the family's 154-position model. The record is from RNAcentral.